AUUGAACGCUGGCGGAAUGCUUUACACAUGCAAGUCGAACGGCAGCACGGGAGCUUGCUCCUGGUGGCGAGUGGCGAACGGGUGAGUAAUGCGUCGGAACGUACCGAGUAAUGGGGGAUAACGCAGCGAAAGCUGUGCUAAUACCGCAUACGCCCUGAGGGGGAAAGUGGGGGAUCGCAAGACCUCACGUUAUUCGAGCGGCCGACGUCUGAUUAGCUAGUUGGUGGGGUAAUGGCCUACCAAGGCGACGAUCAGUAGCGGGUCUGAGAGNAUGAUCCGCCACACUGGGACUGAGACACGGCCCANACUCCUACGGGAAGGCANCAUUGGGGAAUUUUGGACAAUGGGGGCANCCCUNAUCCANCCAUUCCGCGUGAGUGAANAAGGCCNUCGGGUUGUAAAGCUCUUUCANCUGGAACGAAACGGUACGGGCUAAUACCCUGUGCUAAUGACGGUACCAGCAGAANAAGCACCGGCUAACUACGUGCCAGCAGCCGCGGUAAUACGUAGGGUGCGAGCGUUAAUCGGAAUUACUGGGCGUAUAGCGUGCGCAGGCGGAUUGUUAANCANGAUGUGAAAUCCCCGGGCUUAACCUGGGAAUGGCAUUUUGAACUGGCAGUCUAGAGUGCGUCAGAGGGGGGUGGAAUUCCACGUGUAGCAGUGAAAUGCGUAGAGAUGUGGAGGAACACCAAUGGCGAAGGCAGCCCCCUGGGAUGACACUGACGCUCAUGUACGAAAGCGUGGGUAGCAAACAGGAUUAGAUACCCUGGUAGUCCACGCCCUAAACGAUGUCAACUGGUUGUUGGGGGAGUGAAAUCCCUUAGUAACGAAGCUAACGCGUGAAGUUGACCGCCUGGGGAGUACGGUCGCAAGAUUAAAACUCAAAGGAAUUGACGGGGACCCGCACAAGCGGUGGAUGAUGUGGAUUAAUUCGAUGCAACGCGAAAAACCUUACCUACCCUUGACAUGUCCAGNNCCCUGCANAGAUGCGGGGGUGCCCGAAAGGGAAUUGGAACACAGGUGCUGCAUGGCUGUCGUCAGCUCGUGUCGUGAGAUGUUGGGUUAAGUCCCGCAACGAGCGCAACCCUUAUCAUUANUUUGCUACGCAAGGGCACUCUAAUGANACUGCCGGNGACAAACCGGAGGAAGGUGGGGAUGACGUCAAGUCCUCAUGGCCCUUAUGGGUAGGGCUUCACACGUCAUACAAUGGUCGGUACAGAGGGUUGCCAAGCCGCGAGGUGGAGCCAAUCCCAGAAAGCCGAUCGUAGUCCGGAUUGUUCACAGCAACUCGAGAGCAUGAAGUCGGAAUCGCUAGUAAUCGCGCAUCAGCAUGUCGCGGUGAAUACGUUCCCGGGNCUUGUACACACCGCCCGUCACACCAUGGGAGUGGAAACUGGCAGAAGUAGGUAGCCUAACCGCAAGGAGGGCGCUUACCACGCUGGGUUNCAUGACUGGGGUG
RNAcentral lists this ribosomal RNA (1459 nucleotides) under Thiobacillus thioparus. Its description in RNAcentral is "bacterial SSU rRNA". It matches the Rfam family "Bacterial small subunit ribosomal RNA". Lineage: Bacteria; Pseudomonadati; Pseudomonadota; Betaproteobacteria; Nitrosomonadales; Thiobacillaceae. The record is from RNAcentral.